This 256-nucleotide ribosomal RNA is filed under the name uncultured bacterium. Its description in RNAcentral is "partial 16S ribosomal RNA". It matches the Rfam family "Bacterial small subunit ribosomal RNA", at positions 524 to 776 of the family's 1533-position model. The record is from RNAcentral.
UACGUAGGGUGCAAGCGUUUGUCCGGAAUUAUUGGGCGUAAAGAGCUCGUAGGCGGUGGCUUAAGCGUGCGGUGAAAGCUCGGGGCUCAACCCCGAGUCGGCCGUGCGAACUGGGCUCACUGGAGCAUAGUAGAGGCAGGUGGAAUUCCGGGUGUAGCGGUGGAAUGCGUAGAGAUCCGGAAGAACACCGGUGGCGAAGGCGGCCUGCUGGGCUAUGGCUGACACUGAGGCGCGGACAGCGUGGGGAGCAAACAGG